CCCGCGGUAGCUCAGCUUGGUAGAGCUUCCGGCUGUAGACCGGACUGUCGUCGGAGAGUUGUAGGCGUCCAAAGCCUCUACUCGGCGUAUUCAAAUCCGACCCGCGGGA
Molecule: transfer RNA, 109 nt
Filed under: Nitrososphaerota archaeon
Lineage: Archaea; Thermoproteati; Nitrososphaerota
Description: Thaumarchaeota archaeon tRNA-Tyr
Rfam family: tRNA
About the family: Transfer RNA (tRNA) molecules are approximately 80 nucleotides in length. Their secondary structure includes four short double-helical elements and three loops (D, anti-codon, and T loops).
Source: RNAcentral